AUACGUAGGGUGCGAGCGUUGUCCGGAAUUACUGGGCGUAAAGAGCUCGUAGGUGGUUUGUCGCGUCGUCUGUGAAAUUCCGGGGCUUAACUCCGGGCGUGCAGGCGAUACGGGCAUAACUUGAGUACUGUAGGGGAGACUGGAAUUCCUGGUGUAGCGGUGAAAUGCGCAGAUAUCAGGAGGAACACCGGUGGCGAAGGGGGGUCUCUGGGAAGUAACUGACGCUGAGGAGCGAAAGCAUGGGUAGCGAACAGGAUUAGAGACCCUGGUAGUCCAUGCCGUAAACGGUGGGCGCUAGGUGUAGGGGUCUUCCACGACUUCUGUGCCGUAGCUAACGCAUUAAGCGCCCCGCCUGGGGAGUACGGCCGCAAGGCUAAAACUCAAAGGAAUUGACGGGG
This 398-nucleotide ribosomal RNA is filed under the name uncultured bacterium. RNAcentral's name for it is "partial 16S ribosomal RNA". It matches the Rfam family "Bacterial small subunit ribosomal RNA", at positions 523 to 918 of the family's 1533-position model. The record is from RNAcentral.